This is a non-coding RNA of Mycena rosella, 89 nucleotides long. The record is from the annotation of a GenBank genome assembly. Lineage: Eukaryota; Fungi; Basidiomycota; Agaricomycetes; Agaricales; Mycenaceae.
GCGGAUGUGGUGCACGGUGCACUCCUGCAUUUAAUGAUACGAGAGCAACUUGAAAGCAGUGAGACGGGGUUCGACUCCCUGCGUCCGCA